Brassica napus (rape) is the source of this 2764-nucleotide long non-coding RNA. RefSeq lists it as uncharacterized. The record is from RefSeq and is a predicted model, not a curated record. The transcript is spliced from 5 exons. NCBI's taxonomy places the organism in Eukaryota, Viridiplantae, Streptophyta, Magnoliopsida, Brassicales, Brassicaceae.
UUCGAUGUAAGAUCUUGAGCUUAGUCUGAAUUUUACUGUAUGUACAAUCACCACAUAAAACUAGGAUUAAUGAACAUAACAACACAUUUAUGCUAAAGUAUUUGUAAGAUAUGAAGUGAGGUUACCAGACACUGAUCUUGGUAUGUAUCCUCCUGAAACAUGUAAACAAGACAUACAGACAUACAUACAUCAAGCAAUCACAAAACUUUAACCAUAAUCACCUUGUAUUACAAUAUGCUCACAUGCCUUUUCAAUAGGUGUGGACAUAUACUGUUGAUUUUAUUUGAUAUUGCGCAUCUAAAAUUGUUUCUCAAGUUUUCUUAGGUCGAUGUUGGAAAGUGUCUUCUGAGUUGUCUAUGUUAAAUGUUUAUGUACUUACAAGUAUUUUUCGUGUCUUGGCAGCCAACAUUACAUAAACCUAGUAUUAUGGCUCACAUAAGGGGGAGAAAACACUUCGUCUCCACUAUGCAAAUUGCAGGUAGACUCCGCGGAUAUACAAUUUUCCAUAUCUUUGUUGAUUUUUUCACAUGUAGUUUUGAUGUAUCUCAGGACUGAUUUUUAAAACUACUUUGGUUCCAGUACAUAUAAUGCAGAUUUUGAUAGAGAUGAGAUGAAUGUCCAUUUUCCACAAGAUGAGAUUUCACGAGCUGAGGCUUACAAUAUUGUCAAUGCCAACAACCAAUAUGCCAGGCCUUCUAAUGGUGAUCCACUUCGAGCUUUAAUUCAGGUUUCUUCAAACCCUUAUAUUCAUUUCACAAAUUGGGUCUUAUUUUUAGCUUGCUUUGACUAGAUGUUAGAGAGCUAAAUCAGUCUCUAGAUGGUUAGAGAUUUUAUUUUCUAUUUUUAGAUUUUACAACUUUAAGUUGAUUUAGGACUUAAUUUGAAUCGUCUUGUUCAAACCCUUGGUAUCUUUUAGGAUGAAAUUAUUCACUUGCAUAUGAAUUGGUACAGAAUCCUGUUUACCAGAUACGUUUUUAACAUGUAAGCAUAUGUUUUGUUUAUGUCAAAUGAUGAAUACAGUCAGCUUCUUUUCAGUAAUGGCGUGACUGACAUGGUACUCACUUCUUUUUCUGGCAAAAAAGUCACACAAUCAGCUUUAAUGCAGAGCUGUUGACUGUCACGCCUUCCAUUUUGAAACCAGUACCUCUUUGGACCGGAAAGCAGGUCAUCACGGCAGUGUUAACCAAAGGAGGUCAUCCCCCGUUCAGCGUAGAGAAAUAUACAAAACUUCCGGUUGACUUCUUCAAAUGUAGAUCAAUAGAAGCUAAAUCUAAAAGUGGAGAAUCCAACAAAAAGACCAAGAAGCAUGAUGUUAACGAAGAUAAACUGCUCAUCAGAAAAAAAAUGAAUUUGUCCGCGGUGUGAUUGUAUGAAGCAUGGAAAUUGUAGUUUACCAAAUAAUCUAAUCACAGACUACUGUCUUUCCUGCAGAUCCUCAGGACAUGAAAUCCAGAAUCGAGCGAGUUCUGUAUGAGGAUGGCGAACCUGCUUUGGCAUCUUUGGACAGGAGCGUCGUUAGUGAGCUCAACCAGCGUUCAAGCAAGGGGGUGAUGAACGAUUUGCUCUCUGAUGGGUUGUUGAAAACACCCGGAACGAAAAGACAGAACCUCUUGUUACCAAAAUGAGAUGAAGAAGCAGUUUACCAAAAGACAGAACCUCUUGUUAUAUUUACUUUUUCAAUGGAGCCUCUAUUGCAGCAAGUAAUUUUUCAUCAGUUCUUUCUCAUGUUAUCUACGUUGUGCAGGUUAAUUUCCAGCUAAUUUCUUCUCACCUUGGCCAGCAAUAUUUAGAAGGAAUGGUUUCUUGGAAGACAGACAUUACCUUGCUUCCAUUCCAUCCAUGGGAGCUGGAGGUUUUAUUAGUGAUAGAUUCCUUAGCGGUCUUCGCCCCCAAGAAUACUACUUUCAUUGUAUGGCUGGACGAGAAGGGUUAGUUGAUACUGCAGUGAAGACAUCACGUAGUGGAUAUCUGCAGAGAUGGUUGAUGAAAAAUCUCGAGAGCCUGAAAGUCAACUAUGAUUGUACAAUACGGGAUGCUGAUGGGUCCAUCAUUCAGUUCCAAUAUGGUGAAGAUGGCGUCGAUGUUCAUCGGUCUAGCUUCAUUCAAAAGUUCAAAGAAAUGACAAUAAAUAAAGAUAUGUAACUUCAAAAGAUUUAGCGAAGCAUGCUAUCUGGAUCCAGUACUGAUCUUCCUAUUACUCUUAAGGAAGGAGCUGAGAAGUUUGCGGAGGCAAUGCCUUGCUGAAGGGCAAAACCAAGGAUGAUGCAAGUCAAAUUACUGAUAGGUUGAGGAAAGAUUACGGUAGCAGAUAUUAUAAAGAUAUAGAAGUGUUCGUUAUACCAUUUGCAGUUCAUGGGGGUGAAGUUUGUAGUAUUCACAAGCUUAAGAUAAAUCUCUACAAAAAAUCACACAGAUAUUAAUGAAGAAGACUGGGAAGAAAUAUGACUGUUACGUUUUUGAGGAAGUUGGAAGACGCUAUAGAGACUCACAUAAAAAUGCUCUAUAGAAUCAGAUGCAUAAAGGUUGAGAAAGACAAGGGUCCAAAAUCUGGAAAUGAAACGGAUAAGGAUGAUUCUGACAGUGGAGAGGUGAUGAUGACGAGGGCGAGGAUACAGAGGCUGAUGACCUUGGUGCAGAUGCACAGAAACGAAAAUUAGUUUAUUUUCUAUCAUUUUUAAAAAAAUUUAAUUUAUUAAAAUAAAUUAAAAAACCAUAUUAAUUAUAUAAUAAAAAUUUAGAUUUUUUCGUAUAUGUUAUAUUUUGA